This 75-nucleotide transfer RNA is filed under the name Felis catus (domestic cat). It matches the Rfam family "tRNA". Rfam says of the family: Transfer RNA (tRNA) molecules are approximately 80 nucleotides in length. Their secondary structure includes four short double-helical elements and three loops (D, anti-codon, and T loops). Further hydrogen bonds mediate the characteristic L-shaped molecular structure. tRNAs have two regions of fundamental functional importance: the anti-codon, which is responsible for specific mRNA codon recognition, and the 3' end, to which the tRNAs corresponding amino acid is attached (by aminoacyl-tRNA synthetases). tRNAs cope with the degeneracy of the genetic code in two manners: having more than one tRNA (with a specific anti-codon) for a particular amino acid; and 'wobble' base-pairing, i.e. permitting non-standard base-pairing at the 3rd anti-codon position. Lineage: Eukaryota; Metazoa; Chordata; Mammalia; Carnivora; Felidae. The record is from Rfam by way of RNAcentral.
GCCCGGCUGGCUCAGUUGGUGGAGCGUGUGAUUCUUGAUCUCAAGUUGUGACUCAUUGAGGUCCCACGUUGGGCA